UACGGGGGGGGCAAGCGUUGUUCGGAAUUACUGGGCGUAAAGGGUCUGUAGGUGGCCAACUAAGUCAUACGUGAAAUCCCUCAGCUUAACUGGGGAACUGCGUCUGAUACUGGUUGGCUUGAGUGCAGGAGAGGAACGCGGAAUUCCAGGUGUAGCGGUGAAAUGCGUAGAUAUCUGGAGGAACACCGGUGGCGAAGGCGGCGUUCUGGGCCUGACCUGACGCUGAGGAGCGAAAGCGUGGGGAGCGAACAGG
Molecule: ribosomal RNA, 253 nt
Filed under: uncultured bacterium
Lineage: Bacteria
Description: partial 16S ribosomal RNA
Rfam family: Bacterial small subunit ribosomal RNA
Source: RNAcentral